GUUGGCUAUCCUUGCCCUAUGUGAUUUUGUUUGCACAAGUCCAUAGCAUCAUUACCUCAGACAGUUCCCAUAAGCCCUGAUGGUUAGUGAAUCAGAGUUGGCAUUUAGCAACAUCUGGAGUGCACCAAAUUGAUGGUAACUUCUGAAGGCAUCUAUAGAUUGAACAUUUUUCAUGUCUUCCUCAGAACUAUAUAGAAUAGAGAAACUCUGGUUCCCAUGUGCAGUGGAGGCUCUGAAUAUUCCCAGGAGCCUUCAUUGUAUGGGGGAGCCAUGAGAUUAUAGGGCGAGCCCCCUACUGUCACUGGUCUUUAGUGCUUCUGGUUUCUCUCCCCUCGCAUUUGGACUCAGUAAGUUUGAGAAAGUGUGGAAAAGAUGGUAUCUCUGGCAGCAGAGGAUUGGUGUGGCAAAAAGGCUUGCCUUAGGCUGAGCAUAGAAAACCUGAGGUAAGGGAAGAACUCAUGUUUUCUCUGAGAAUUCUCCAGGAAACCCUGGGAAGGCUAUGCCGAUUACAAAUCAAGAUGGAGGAAUUUCACUCAUUGCUAAUGCUAAUGAAUAAAUUGAAACUGAAGCUUAUUUGUGGUGGAUAGGGCUCUCAGUAUCCAUAAGCCUCAGUUGCUAUGUGCUCCGUCCGCUGUCAAAUAUGACUCUGAAUACCAGUUGCUGCGGAUUGCAAGUGGGGAGAGUUUUGUUGCACUCAGUUUCUGCUUGAGGGCAUCUAGUUGGCCACCGUAAAAUCAGGACAUGGUCCGGAUGGGUCACUGGCCUGAUCCAGCAAAGUUCUUCAUUUUUUAAAAUGUUUUUCAGUGUAUUGCAGUAAUUUGUCCUUUGCAGUAAUGGAUUAGAAUUUUGUGCACAACUAUUUCUCUGACUUAAUGAGAAAUGUUGAACAGCCAUCCCCUUGAAGUCUGCAGUACAGGUGUGCUUUCUGUAGCAUCAGCAGCUCCCAAACACAACUCUGAUGAUGUACUAGCAACAUGAUCCACAAUGCACUGACCUAAAUGGGACUAAGUGGGUUUAAAGAAAAGCAUUUGGGCUGAUGUUUGGGAGUUUAAGGUUGCAGUCCAUCAUGCACCACUGUUAGAAAUCUCAACAGGAAUAUUGCCUUUAAUGCGCAUCCCUCAACUUAAGAGGGUUAUGGGUCAUGUCUUUGGGCUAUUAGUGUGUGUGAGAGAGAGGUCACAUUUCUGCCCCUGCUUCACUUUCUUGGAGCCUUUUUCACAGCUGUCUCUUUUCAUGGCUGUAAUGCAGAAGAUUCUUACCAAGGAUGAGAUAUUUAAAAGGAUGAGAUAUUUUAAAUACUGCCAGAGGAAAUGGAAGGCAUAAUGUUGUAGUUCCUUUGCUGCAAUCAUUACAUUUCUGAAUGUCUGCUACUGAAUAACAAAAGCUGUAAUUCCCAUGUAACCUCCAGGAAAGCUGUAAAUCAAGGAUGGGAACCUGUGGCCCUCUAGAUGUUGGACUUCAACACCCAUAAUCAUCAGCUUGAAUGACCAGUGGUCAGGGAUUUAUUUUAUUCUCAAUUGUUUUAGUUGAUGUUUUAAUGUAUUGUAAACUGUUUUGAAAUUUGUUCUUUAAAAUAUAAAGUGGUAUAGAAAUGAUGAUGAGUCAAUCAGCAUUAGGAAGGCCACAGAGUCCCUAUCAGUGCUGAGAGGUGGAAUGUGAAAUGCUAAGGGUGAAGUCAUGUAGAAUCUGCUUUUUCUAUAGAUUUGCAAGAUCUGGCUGAUUAUUGUGGAGAUCUUGAAUGUAGCCACAUCCACUCUGAUCCUGUCCUCUAAUCACACUGCCUGCUUCCUUCCAACAGCCUGAGUGCUUAUUGUCAAUCUUUUUGGAUUCCUGGAAAUUCCUCAUAAGUUUGUCCUAAAGAAGAACCCCAAAUUCAAACCAAAAUUAGCUUUAGGACACACUGUAUAUUAUGGCAACUCUAUUCCCAAGUACAGUGGUACCUCGGGUUAAGUACUUAAUUCGUUCCGGAGGUCCGUUCUUAAUGUGAAACUGUUCUUAACCUGAAGCACCACUUUAGCUAAUGAGGCCUCCUGCUGCCGCCGCGCCCCCAGAGCACAAUUUCUGUUCUCAUCCUGAAGCAAAGUUCUUAACCCGAAGUACUAUUUCUGGGUUAGCGGAGUCUGUAACCUAAAGUGUAUGUAACCUGAAGCGUAUGUAACCCGAGGUACCACUGUAUUAUAAACUUUGCUUAGUUUUUCUGUCUCCUUUCUUUGCAUAGCUCAACUGCUCUUAGACCCAUGGCUCCAAAGGAAAGAUUUCCAGUCUAAUUACCAUUCAGGGAGGAGGGGAUGCAUAUAAUCCAGAUGGGGAGGCCUCAUGGGCCACAUCUGGCUCACGUGCCAGUGCUUUCCUCUCUUUGAUCGAUGUCUUUAACAGGCAGAAACCAACAGCUGCAAAGCUUUCCCCACAGCGACAUCUCCAUGCUGGGGCAAAAAGCAUCACUUGUCAAUUUCUCUAUGAUCUGCAUCUGUUAGAUGCUCCAUCCUUCAGAAAGGUUGCAACACACCAAUGUUUUCGAAAAGGGGUCCUGUGGUUUAGUUUAUUAGGCUGAGAGCUGGGUGACUGUUGUGUUUUCUUUUACACCGUCAGAAACGCCGUGGAACGUGAUCAGAGGGUAAGCUGUAAAACUCCACCAUUAAUCCACCCUCUCCAGGUGGUGUUCCCAUAUUUAAUGGCUUAAUGACCUAUUUGUUUCUUCAAAGGAGACAAGCACCUCUAUUUCAUAUUUCCCCAUGUUCAUUAACUUUGACAAACUAAUCCUUCUGCAAAGGUUGUAAGAUGGGCCAGAUCAUUGUAAAGAUGAAGAUUUCAGUCAGGUACAUAGAUAAUGCGAUAAAAUGAGUCAGGAAUGCAUUGGCUGUUUCUAUGGGGUCGUAAAUUGUGUUUACUUGGUUUCAUUAUUGAAAGAGGUGUUUGCUUGUACCUCUUCUGCACUGAAGUAUGCUACCCAACAGCUUGUGUGCUCUUUCUAAUGAUACACGAAGCAAAAUUGUUCAAAUGGGAUAGGCCAGGUUCAGCUUCUGUGUUCCACAGGUGGGUGAUUAGUAUGAGCUAAUUAUCUUAACAAGUUGUCAACUGAUAAACAAGAGGAUGGCAGAUGCCCAUAGAGGUUGGCUUGACAUACCACUAGCUCACUGCUAGACUUCUCAUUCACCAUUUACAGGGGUUUUUUACUACAUGUUCCAGAUACAGCAUAUUCCUCCUAGGUACACAUUGAAACCUGCAUUUGCGUUAUAUUUUACAACAUGAAAUACUUAUUCUUCCCAUAAACUUCCAUAGGAGACUCAUAGAAUAUGAACAGACUUUAAGUGUAUGUGUACUUCUAGUAGUAGAAACUGAUUAUGGUUUUAUUGUCCCAUAAUGGUACCUUUCCCCCAUCCGUCAAACAACCAAAGUUCAAAUUCUGUUUUGGAAAGCAUUCUGUGCUGAUAUGGCCAUGAGUAAUUUAUAUGUACAUCUGUCAAAGUGCAUCUGGACCCUUUUCCAACUCAUCAGGCUAAUGCAGUUAAGGAAGCACACCCGUUCUCUUAUGUACUACAUUUUUUAGUUGAACGCCCAACCAUCCUCGCUUCCUGUCACACUCUUUAGUCUUCAGCCUGAAUGUCAAUGGCAGGGUGAGGCAAGUACCUAUUUGGACAUCUAUCUGCACAACAACUGGCCUAAAGACCAAAAUCGUGUGCCAGGAAAUGCAUUUUGCCUGGGCCACAGAUCCCCUCAACAGCAGGGUUGGAGAUACCUGAGCAGCCAUCAGCAGAAGUAGAUUAACAGUCACUACUGUAGUAAACAGAAAGAUUAAAGCUACAUUUUCUGGCCUUGACGUUAGAAUGUUCUCCUAAUAGUAGAAGAAACAAGGAAGAUACCUGGUAGCAACUGUCAUAGGGAAUAGUGGAAGGGCUGGGGCUCAGUGCAUUGCAGAAUGUCCCAGGGUCAGUCCCUCAUGUCUUGAAGUCAGGACAGGAAAUAUCCAUCUGGAACUCUGGAGUUCUGCUGCCACAAUGAACUAGAGGGACCAAGGGGUUGACUUCCGGGGUGGCGCCAUCGGCAAUGGCGGACUCCCUCUGAACUGGAGGGACUAGCUCUGCGUGAAACGGGUCUUUUCCGCUACAGCGAAGCGGGGACCCUGCUAAAAAUCACAGGUGGAUGAAGCCUGUGACCAUGGGACUCGGCGGGCACCCUUAGCGCCCCCCACAACCUGCAAAGGAACCCACUAACGGGCUCCGAAGUGAAGAGGGGGAAGUGGCGCGGUGCUGUGAGUCAACUGCUAUUUCUGUGGAGCGAAGCCACAUAGCCGUUGCCGGAGAGCGCUGCCUUUUUCCUGGGACAAUUUGGCUUCUAAAAUAAGCACCCGUGAGUACUUAAAAUUUGAACAAUCGGACUUUAAAUAAGGACUUGCAUGCAGAAAGGAAUUGGACUUAAAAAUUUACUUCAAUUUGGUACUGAAACGGGAAGGUCUAAACAGGAAGUCAGCCUUCCGUUUAUUUGUAGACAGAAUAAAGCAAAGACAACAUAAACUAGAGCUCAGAAAAUCGCCUCUAAAGGAUUGGAUUUUAUCAUUUAAAAUUGUGGAACCCCCCUUCGACAGCAGGAGAAGAAGGGGGAUCUUUUUCGGACUGUUUAAACCUGCAGAAGUGAGUUUAAAGUAAAGUAACUUUCCACUGUCCUGAUCCUGGAGCGGGGUGUCAGGACUGACGUUUGAAGCUCAUUGACCAGAGACAAACGUUUUUGACAGAUAGUUAAAGGAAGAGAAACAUAGUGAUUCCACUGUUUCCUUUCGCAUUUUAAGGAACAAAUAUUGACAAAAUAUCUCAAAAAGGAUACUUUAUUGCAAGAACAAAUAGAAGUUCUCCCCCUAGAGGGAGACUGUGAAACUGUAACUAAUUCCAGGGAGCUUGCAGCUGUCACAGAUUACAAUCAUGGGAAUGGACUUGUGACCUUGUAGGACAAUGUAUUCAGAGGCUCUGUUGUGUGCUCUCUGGAAAACAAGUGCCCUACUGGAACAGUUAAAUGAGAAGAUGGAUUUGAUGACUAAUGCGGCCAGAAUUUUUGAACAGGCAGUGGGAAACUAUGUGGAGCCCACCCAGGAAUUAGAACAGGAGUGCGUCCUGACAGAGCAGAUGAGAGAAGAGGAUGUUGCUGAAUCUUGGGCGCCAGAGAUGGAGGGAGCUGCGGCCUUGCAGGAGCAUGAGCUUUUGGACUUGACAAAUGAACUUGGAAAAAGCCAGAUUUGGAAAGAUAAAGUUUGGAUUGGUUUGGAAAUGGGGGGUUGGAUAGACCCCCCUACGCAGGGAUGUUUGGACUUUCCGAGUCUGGCAAUGGGCCGUGAGAUGUUUGGAGCUGUGGGGGCUCUCAAUUUUGGAGGGAUUCUGAAACAUGUUUUUAAAUACCACAUGGAGUUGAGUCUGGACUAUGGAAAAGGGGCUGAUUUGCUGAAAAGUGUCAAAAACAUCACCAAGCUGGAGUUCCCACGAGUGAAAGGAGAAUAUGAAGAAGAGCUGCGGAAGGGACAUGGAAGAGAUUUAAGGGCCUCGGAUAUAAGGUUACCAGGUUAAUGCGCUAGAUCGAUGGGAUAAAAAGGACUGACAAAACCCGGGACCAGGAGGAAGGGACGCUGGAGGAAGACUCGAUUAUUUUUAUCUCUUUUUUUAUUACCAGGAUUGUUUUAUAAAAUUGAUGAAUGUUAGAAAAAUGCUGGAAUGAAAUUACUUGGCUCUAGUAAAAAUGUUUAAAGAAUUAGGUAAGAAUAUUAUGGUUGUGAGAAGUCGGUAAAAAUAAGAUUUAAGUUUUAAGUUUUUAAGGUUUUCUAUAAGAUAAGAUGAAAAUAGAUUAAGGUAAUGUAAUGACAGAAUAUUAUGAAAUAUGGAAAGGAUUUGCUGCAAUAAUUAUUAACUAGGAUACAAAAAAAGGGAGGAGGAGGAGGUCAAAGAAAGAAGGUAAUGAAAGUUGAGGAUUUGAGAAUGAUGGAGUUAUUAUUGUCUGUUUGCAGACAAUAUUUUUGUUUUUUGAAUUUGUAUUGUUUGAUGUGGUUUGUUUUUUCUUUGUUUCUUUUUUUUCCCUUUUCUGCUUUGUUUUUUCUCUGUAAUUUAAAAAAUUUUCAACAAAUAUCAUUAAAAAAAUAAUAAUAGAGGGACCAAUGGUCUCACUGAGUAUAAGGCACAUUCCUAUGUUCCUUAACCCUGAAGAUCUAAUUCCUGGUUCAAACUUGAGAGGACAAACCAUCAUUUACUGGUCCAUGGCACUUUUGCACCUCUGUACCCAUGAAUCCAUUCUAUUUGCAUAAUAAUGUGUGGAUUAACUCCUACCUUGUUAUUGUAGGACAUUAUUUUUAUUAUACCCUGCCCAUCAGGCUGGGUUGCCCCAGCCACUCUGCAUAAAACUGAAGCCCACAAACCUGUUCCAUGUUAUCAAGUGUCCUGACUCUGAGUAUUGUGCAAUAUGAACCUGUAUUCUUAUAAAGGUGGUGUUUCUUAUUUAGUUGUCACAACUCUUGCACUUUCCAUGAUACGUUUAUGACACACUGACCUUUUCUCUGGUCUUUUUUCUAUACUUGAGAAAGGUGGGCGGUCCAGUCAAGCAAGCUAGUGCAUAUGUUAUUUGAAAGGUUACUGUGUUGCAGUAGAUGGUUUGACCUCGUUGAGUACGGAAAGUGAGGAAGAUUUCUCCUGGAGCAGAAAAUGCCACAUUUUUCUGUCUUGAAUAAACUACUAAUUUCUAGCUUGAACUGGUGAUGGAGGAUCUUGAGGUUCAUUUCCAGAAGGCAAUCCAGUUGACCUUGUUUGCCACACUUAGAACAGGUACAUACACUGACAUAUGAGAGAGAAAGAGAGAGAGAAUAUUGCUGUGCAGAGAAUUUACAAGUGUUUCCCUCACCCCAACCACUCACAGGCACAAUUUGAAGUGAAGGAGAAUUUGUUUGGUGAAAUAGCUUGGGAGAACAGUGGUAAAAACUGUCUACUAGGUACUGUACGUUUUCUACAUAUCCGUGUGCUAUCUGUGCCCUAAAAGCAUUUGCCAGUGGGAUUCUGUCCCUGCCUGCCCCACCCCCCGAGGUGUCUAAUAUUUACUCAGGAUGGGAGAUAGGAUUUAUGUAUUAUGAAUCACACAGUUAUUUAGCCUCUAAGGAACUCAGGGCUGUUUGCAUGGUUCUGUUUCCCCCAUUAAUCCUCACAAUGGAAAUGUGAUUGGUUCAAGGUCACCUAAGUGUGGUGAGAGCCAGUAUGGUGUAGUGGUUAAGAGUGGUAGACUCGUAAUCUGGUGAACCAGGUUCGUGUCUCCGCUCCUCCACAUGCAGCUGCUGGGUGACCGUGGGCUAGUCACACUUCUUUGAAGUCUCUCAGCCCCACUCACCUUACAGAGUGUUCGUUGUGGGGGAGGAAGGGAAAGGAGAAUGUUAGCCGCUUUGAGACUCCUUCGGGUAGAGAUAAAGCAGGAUAUCAAAUCCAAACUUCUUCUUCUUCUUCUUCUUCUUCUUCUUCUUCUUCUUCUUCUUCUUAACAAGCUUUGUGGCUCAGUGAGGAUUUGAACUCAGGCCUCCUUGGUUUAACUUACACACUACACUGCUGUUGGUUCUGGUACCACUUCAGAUGGUAGCGAGGGUAGAGUAUUUUCUAAUUUCUCUAAUGUAAAAAACCCUCUCUGCAUGUAAUAAAGUAACACAUUUGAUUGUUACUAGUUUGUUUCUGGGCCCAACUGAAGUUGCUCAAGGUAGUAUUUUAAGCCCUUAAACAACGUAGGCCCCAAAUGUCUGAAAGACCGACUCCUUCCAUGUAGACCUUUCCAGGUGUUAAGAUCAUCACUGGGCAGCUCUUGGUCGUUCCUCCAUCUUUAGAAGCUUGGGGUGCUGUUGGCUGUUGAAUUCCUUCCCCGCAGAGGUGUGUGUGGCCCCAUAAUCAUCGAACUUUCAUCACAUGCUGAAGAGGUACCCUGGCCUAUCAUACAUACUUUUAGGAACCACUGUAGUUCUGAUUGUAAUUGGUUUGCAACUAGUUUAACAACUGGGAACUCUGGGAAUUGUAGCUCUGUGGGAGGAACUAGCAGUCUUUGAACAACUCUCAGAACCUUUGAAAGAAAUUACAGUUCCCAGUAUGCUUUGAGGGAACCCAUGGCUAUUUAAAGUGGAAUGAUACUGUUCUAAGUGCAGAUGUGACCUAAAUAUUGAACCAGGUUUAUGCUGUGUGUUUCUUUUUAAUGUUGUUGUAAUCACUAUACACACUGUGUAUUAGCACGCCUAUUCCUCUACUUGAACCAUCCAGUACUCUAAAUAUCCCUUAUUGCACAGUUAAUUGUGUUUUAAAGUUUCAAAUUAUUAUUUAGAAAAGAAACGCGGGGAAAAUCCACUCGUCCUCUUCCUUCAGGAAUUCUCCUGAACCCAUUACAGUUAAUUCUUGGGGCAGUUUUAUGUUUUCGUCUUCUCGUUUUUAUGUUAGCACAUAUAUAGUCUAACAUAAAAAUCUGCAGGGAUAAACAUAAAGUAGCAAAAGAAUAAAUACAAUGGGCAAACAUACCCAAAUUUAAAAAUGAACUUUUUUUUCAAACUACUAAAACUGCCAAAGUGGUGAAAUAAUAGAAGCUUAUCAGUGCUGGAGGAAAAGAAAGAAAAUAAAUAAGGAAAUCAAUGCCCAUAGUUUAUAUCAAUUCUCUAAAAUAACUAGGCUCCAGUUUGCAAAUAGCUGCUCUUGCAGAAUCCCCAUUCAUUUCAAUAUGGACUGAGCUUCCUAACCAUUUAUAAUGAUAUAAUGUUCCCUUGGUGGUAUUGAGAUGCUGAUGGCAGAUAGUAUCCAGGAACUAAUCAGGGGCUGAAGUGAGCAUGAAAGUAAGUACCUUUCUAUCUACCUAUCUUAUUUAUAAAACAAAACAAAACACGUUUUUAUCCUGCACUUUCCAUCUUAAUGGGACCCUCAGGGCAACUAACUGUCAGGUGUAUCAUAAAAUGAAAAAAAUGCAAUCAGUUUAAAAUAUCAGUAGCACAAUAUUAAAGCAGGAGGGAAAGCUAAAGAAUUUUCCCUAAAGAGGAGAAUGCAAUGAUAAAUGGGGAUCUAGACAGAAACAUUUUGACAUGGUGUCUCAAUUUUGGACUUAUCCACACUUAUCUUUCCUCUGCGCUUUGGGAGGCAGCAAAUAUUUUAUUGUGGAGGCCGAAGGGACCUCAGCCCCUAGGAGCUGGCUCCUAUGUUUGGCCACAUGUCAGAGCAUUUAUAUAAUGAUUAGCAACACACACACACAAUCUUCUCACAACAGCCUUGCCAAAUCAGCCAUUGCUUUCUUCCAGAGAAAGCAGGCAUUACAGAUCAUUCGUAUUUUGCAGAACUGGAGCAACUUUUCCUAUGACAAAUGCCCCAAGUUCAGUGUCUAUUGCAGGUCCAUUCCUUGAUCUAGACCAGGAUUCCAGAAUGCUCUGGGCUAAGGAGAAUGAAGUCCACUCCAGGACUUACAGAGAAUCCUGGAAGGAAUAAUCUUUGAAGUUGUACAGAAAGGAAAAACUUGAGAAUCAGUCUUCUUUAGUUUAGCUUUCUCUCCCCCCCCCCCAUCUUUUGUGUGUUCAUGCAAUCCCCCUGCCUUUGCACAAACAGACUUGUAUGAAUUGUGCCAUUCCUUGGUGUGCCAUGUUUCUGUCAGCCUGAGAUAAGAGUAGCUGGCUAUUAUCUCCCCUUAAGAAGCCCCCGGGUAACUUUAAUGGCCUGCCUGUACCAUCUUCAGUGCUCAACCAGUAAAAUAUAUUAGCUCACAAAGAGCAUCCUCCUUUCUUCAUAGAACUCAAGAGUAUGAUGAAUCUUCUACUGAUCUAUGGCAGUGGUGGUGGAGGGAGGAGGAAAGCGCAGGAGAAAGUCUGACUGGCAUUCUGGGACAAAAAGAAAGAAGAGAGAAAGCGGAUAUUUUAGAAAGAGAACAGGGAACCUUAUGGUUCGAACCAGCUCUUAUUUAAUACUAUGCAAAUCACUGUAUCUGUCAACUGAAUAUUACAUUCGCUUGUAAUGAAGGAAUUGACAUCUUGAUAGAAGACAAGAAAGCACAAGGCAUGUUUACAGUAAUUUUAGCAGUUCACUAAAUUAAACCAAUUAAAACUUAAUGUGUUGAUCUGCAUAGCCAAAAGCAACUGCUUCUUUUAUGUCAUUUGGCGUCUUAAGGGCUUCUUAUAUUCAAGAUUCAACAGCAGUUCAGCCAGGGGCCGUGCUGUCUGAGAGUGGUCUUUUCUUAUGCAGGGAUGCUUUAGGGGUCGGAUGCUCUGCCUUGGUGCAGCGGGUUAAAUCCUAAAACCUCAGUGGUGAUAGAAAUCUUCCAGAGGCCUGAGCCAAAACAACUUGCAUUGCCUUGUCUCUGUUCAGAGGACCUUCUCCUUGUUCUCCUGUCUCUGGAGGAGAGGAUGGUGGCUAGUGGCAACAGGACUAGCUUGAUGAUAGCAUCCCAUACUCUGGGUGCCUUUCUUCUUGGUCCUCUUCCCAAGAUUGAUGAGCAACAUCUCACUGCAGAACGUCCCAUGCAGUAGAUCCCAGAUUUGAUCCUUAGACUCUCCAGCUCAAACCAUCAAGUCGUGGGAACUCAUCCUUUAUGCCUGUGACCCUAGAGAGCUGCUGCUGGACAGAGCAGACAAUAUUGAGCUAAAUGGACAUUCAUUCUGAACUGGUACAAGUUGGCUUUCUAUGCUCACAACCACACCAUCCAUUUAAAGCACUCUUUUCUUCCUCCUCCUCCUCCUCCUCCUCCUCCUUCUCCUCCUCCUCCUCUUCUUCUUCAGUGAUCACUCGUAGCCAAGUAAGAUUGUCUUCCAUAAACCCAGUUUUAACAGUAGUCCGUAAGUGACUGUGGAGGCCACUUCUGGAUCCACAUGUCCUUCCACAGUGGGGACAUAGGUUUCCGGGCAGGAGUUGAUCAUGGUGAGGGUUUGCCAAACCUGCCUUCCUCUUAGCAAGUUUCUCCCUUUCGUCCUAAGUUCGAGUGUCUUCAAAGUCCAUGACACCUUUGGGAAAGGCUGUUCUCCAGGUGAAGCUCUCAGGCCAGUGUUUCCCAGUUGUUGGUAUUUAUACUAUUUUUUUUUAAGAUUUGACUUGAGACAGUCUUUAAACCUCUUUUGUUGACCACCAGCAUGACGCUUUCUAUUUUUAAGUUCAGAAUAGAGUAGUUGCUUUGGAAGCCAAUAAUUGGGCAUCCGCACAACAUGACCAGUCCAUCGAAGUUGAUGUUGAAGAAUCAUCACUUCAACACUGGUGAUCUUUGCUUCUUCCAGUACACUGGCAUUAGUUUGCCUGUCUUCCCAAGUGAUGUGUAAAAUUUUUUGGAGACAUCGUUGAUGGAAUCUUUCGAGGAGUUGGAGAUGGCAUCUAUAAGUGGGUCCAUGUUUCACAAGCAUACAGUAAGGUUGGUAGUACAAUAGCUUUGUAAACAAGCAUUUUGGUUUCCCUGCGAAUGUCCCAGUCCUCAAACACUCUGCACUUCAAUCAGGAGAAAGCCGCACUCACAGAGCUCAGGCAAUGCUGAAUUUCGGCAUCAGUGUCGGCCCAUGUGGAAAGAUAACUGCUCAGGUAGGAAAAAUGAUUGACAUUUUCCACAACCACACCAUCCAUUUAAAGCACUCUUAUAUCACUUUAACAGUCAUUACUUCCCCCAAAGAGUCCUGAGAAUUGUAGUUUGCUAAAGGUGCCAGUAUCACAGAGCUACAGUUCCCAGCCUCCUUAACACACUACAGUCCCCUGGAUUCUCCAUGACUGUUAAAGGGGCGUAGGAGUGCUUUAAACGAAUGGGGUGGAUGUGACCUGCGUCCACAACAUCCUUCAGGAAACUCACUCAAGACCUAUUUCAGAGUCAAGUCCUGACACCUCCCCUCCCUAAUCCUAACAGCUUAUUUUCAGAUCCCAAACACAUUACAGUUAGCACCUCCAUUUAUUUUAUCUGCCAUGUCAUUAGUUAAUGGUGGUGCGCUUGUUUGUCACAAAGUACAGCGGAUUCAAUUUCCUCCCUCCGCCCUCUGUCGAGACACAGCCAGGCAGCUUAUAUCUCUUUUGCAGCUGGUGCUUCAGGUUUCUGAGCAGAACUUUAUCUCCCUGUUGCAAGCGAGAUCUGUGUUGACAAGAAAGACCACUGCCAUUUGUUAGAGUCUCUGCUGUCAGCGCUGACUGAGUAUUGCUUUCCUAUUCUCCCCUUAAGCAGAAGGAUGUGUGUGAGUGAGCAUUUGUGUGUUUUAAGUAAACAGCAAAAGAGGCUUUUAUAGAUAUAUUUUGGGUAGAUGAUAGAAUUUGUCAUUCCCCCAACUCCUUAGUUUUGAAGCAGUCAAUCAGCACAUUUAUCUGUAGACUUUGAUAUCAUUUGCCUUCUGGUUGUUGUUACAGCAGGUAUAUUCAUCAGAUGAAUAUACUUCCUUCGGAAUAUAUGGAUUGUGGUUUUUAAAGCUGAUCAAUGAUAGCUUACAAAACCUUCCCCCUCCCAACUCCCAUAUUUUAAUGUUAUUUAUUAUUAUGCUUGUAUCCUGUCCUUUAAUCAUCCAAACAACUUUGUGAUGUAGGUUAGGCUAAGAGAUCGUGACUUUCCCAAGGUCACUCAGUGAGCUACAUGGGUGAGUGAGGAUUUGAACCCAAGCCUGCUAUGUCCUAAUCCAGCACUACACCACAUGGACUCUGCUUGCUGCCAUUCUCUUAUUUAUGGGCUCAUUUAUCCAUUGUUUCUGUUAUAUUUCAUGAUUAAAUAUUGUGACUAAACUUAUUCCUUGUUUAGUAUGAACAACUGACACACUAAGAGUGAGUGUCAGGGAUCAGCAUUGUGGGGCAUUUGCCAAUCCCCACACCCACAUCCAAACGUAGGUAGAGCUGUGGUCUAAACCAUUGAGCCUCUUGGGUUUGCUGAUCAGAAGGUCGGUAGUUUGAAUCCCCGUGACAGGGUGAGCUCCUGUUGCUCUGUCCCAGCUCCUGCCAACCUAGCAGUUCAAAAGCAUGCCAGUGCAAGUAGAUAAAUAGGUACUGCUGUGGCGGAAAGGUAAACAGCAUUUCUGUGCUCUCUGGUUUCUGUCAUGGUGUUCCGUUGUGCCAGAAGCAGUUUAGUCCUGCUGACCACAUGACCCGGAAUGCUGUCUGCGGACAAAGGCCGGCUCCCUUGGCCUGAAAGCGAGAUGAGCGCCACAACCCCAUAGUCACCUUUGACUGGACUUAACAGUCCAGGGGUUCUUUACCUUUUUUACACCCAAAUAGGGGCCCAUAGCCAAUCCUUGGAGCCCUCUGGCCCUGCUCAUCUGCCUCCUAACUGACAGGAGUGGAACUUGGUCAUAUACCACCCAGUAUGAGGUCAUUUAAACCCUCUGGUCAGCCCUUGCAGCGCCAAAGACGGGCAUUGGGAAAGUGGCUUCAGGGCUCUGACAGGGUCCUAGAGCUCUCCUACCUCCUUCCCAAUGCCUGAUUAGCACUUGCCCAGCUUGGGGAAGGAGGAAGGAAGACUUUUUAAAAACAACAACACAUUUGUCACUAUUUAUCACAAACUCUCCUAUCAUUGCACUGACAUUGUCUCACCCACCUGUAUAUAUGCCAGCACAACAUUGCCAUUUUGAUGGGCAAACUAAGUUCAGUUUGGAAAUAGUUUGAAUAAACUUGAUUAUUUAAUCCAAAUGAUGUCAGGCAGAGAAAUCCAAACCCCCAACCAGCAGAUCUGAGGGGGGUUGUUGUUCAUAGAAUCGUAAGAGUUGGAAGGGACCACAAGGAUCAUCUAGUCCAACCCCCUGCAAUGCAGGAAUCUUUUGCCCAACAAGGGACGUUUGUAUGGGUGUAGGUGUCCCUCUGAUCAGAACUGCUCAGUGACACCAACAAAGAUUCCUGCCUCAAUGGUGAGCACAAGUUACUGCUGAAAGUACUAUCCCUGCCAACAAAUCGUUCUAUGAUUUUACCAGUGUAAAAGUCUUUCAGUGUAUCUGCCCCUGUUCUGUGGAACAGGAUCCCUGUUGAGAUAUGACAUGUGCUCUCUGUUUGUACUUUCCAGAAAUAUUUCUGAUUCAACAAGCUUUCCCAGCUGGGUUAAAAGGUCUCUCUGCCUUAGGUGCUUAUUGUUUUCAAACGUAUCUCUAGUUGUCCUUUUUUUGACUGUUUCAGAAGCUUAUUUUUAGUUGUUACUAUGUAAAUCACAUUUACACUCAUGUGGAUGGCAACUUACAAAUUAGCAUCAUGGCGAGAUGCUAAGGCUUAAAGUCUUCUGGACAGCUCAGUUAAGCUCAGUAUCCCAAAUGCUGAAGCUGUUCACAAGGCAAGUGGCAUGAUUUGUAAAGGCAAAAGUUAUUAACGACAUCUAUUAUGUUUAAAAGUUGAUUAAAUUGAGCUGAUCUCUCCUACUAAGUGAGGCUUGAUGCUUUCUGAACUGAGCCGGCAAAUGAUUUACACUGCAGUCAUACGAACGUCUACUCAGAUCACUGGAUGGAAGAACCUGUCCAUUUUGGUUCUCCCAUUUUUUUGUUUCUGCAGUCUUAAACUCAGUUCUUCACAUUUUUGCAGCAAUUUGCCAUUAAAAAAAUCCUCUUGAAAACUCAACAGCAUUCUAGUGUGAAUCUAUCCUAAUAAUCACAUAUUGCAGUUUUGACAAACAUACACAUUUUUGCAAGCAAUUUCCCCUAAUAUGAUGAAUUUGCAGGUUAUUUUCACUAACAUGUGCAUUUAUAUGUACACCUUGCCCUAAUAUGUGGAUUUUUGUGGAACACUGCACUGCAAAUUUGGAGAAACGUUAACUUUUAAGGAUGCUAGUGCUGUGGUUCGAUUAUUGUUUCAGAAAGUAUGAAUUAGCUGUGCUCAUCUUUAAAUACAAACUGAAUUGAAUUCCAUCUCCAUCCCAAAGAUGUGAGCGUCACUGAGUUCAGGGGUACGUGUGUAUGGCAUUACAGCCUUAAUCCUAUGUGUAUGGCUUUCUUUUCAUUCAGGCCUAUUUAGGGGGAAAGAAUCACUAUAUGAUUCUACACUGCAAGAACACUAGUAUUAACCAUAAACUCAUCUCUUUAAAAAACAAAAACAAAAUCAUCUGUAUGAAUAUAGCCCAAUUUCAGUCAAAGUCAAGGAGGAUCUCAGCAUCCGAAAGCAGAGGAUAUAAUACAUAUAUCAACUGACCAAGAAUAAGGUUUGAUAUCAGUAGAAAAAUAAGUUGCAAAUCUUGUUUCCUGGAACGUAAGUGAGGGCACACAUUUCAAGGUGUAACUAAUCUAAAUCCCUUUUACAAUAAUAGAAAAAUAACAGCUACAGCAGUUGUACUCUGGGUGUUGCUAAUGGCUAUGAAAAUUGCCUAUUCUUUGAAGAUAUUUGUCUCGACUGAGAGUGAGAUGUGAGCAGGGAAGAGCUAUAGAUGAUUAAAAGAGGAAAAUGCUGAAGAGAAGCAUGUUAAAAAGAAAAAGGGGGAAAACACAUUAUAUUAUAAUGGGAGGAUUUGAUUCAUUAGCGCAUGAAUCUCUUGUGCUCUCUUGGUAUUCAGACCAAUCAUACCUCACAGCUGGCAUUUAACCCAAGUCAUAGCUCUAGUUGGUGAACAAAAUGUGAAAAUAACUUUUCUGAGCUCUUCCCUAACAUUUCAGUUCGUGUGGAUCAUUUAUUAUUGGCUCCCUUGGUACUCUUGGCUUGGUGGAGAAACAGGCAGUGGAAAGAGUAGAUCAUUACAUUUUAUUGUGUAGAUUGCGGAGAGCUUCGCCAGCCACCAUGAAACAACACAUAACAAUUAUGCAAGCUGAAUGGGCCAUAAAUUAGGAACAAAAGCAGUCUCCUCGUGCAUGUGCAGCCUUCUAACUUCAGAAAUCAGUUUCAGGUAGAAUGUUCUAAUCAACGCUGAACACAAGGUGAGAACUUGAUUCACCCAAGUGUCCUCCUGUUGAAGUCAGUUGGAUGGACUUGGGAGUAAGUGGAAUAUGCCUCUUUCAGUGGCUGGGAUAUGUUACGCUGCUUUUGCAUAUCAGUGUUUUUAGCUUUUAUUUUGUUUUAGCUUUGCAUUGGUCUUUAAGUUGCUUUAAGUUUACUUUUCAUAAAACGAGAGAGAGAGAGACUAAUACAUCCAAUAAAUAACAGCAGCAACAUGGACUGAAGCCCAAAUAAAGAAGCUGAAAGGACUCCAAGUGUUGCCUAAUAAGGAAGGAAGGAAGGAAGGAAGGAAGGAAGGAAGGAAAGAAAGAAAUGUAUUGGGACUGCAUCUAACUUAGGAGUCUGAUAAAAAAAGAUGCUAGUUUCAGCAGUGUGUGUGUGUCUUGCAGAGAACGUACACAAGUUGAUGAAUGUAGACAUUCACAUGUAAGUGCUGCCAAUCCCCAAUAACUUUGAGGAAUGUCUUAAUAGAUAUGUAUUCCUCACGUUCCAGGCAUAUGCUGUGGAAUGCCAGCAACAAUACUUAGGUAGGUGUCAUCAUUCAGGAAUGCAUCUCUAUGAGUUUUUGAACAUUCACAAAAGUCGUCUGGUAUUUUCAGCGCUGUCCAAAUUUCUGACAUCUACUGCACCAUAUGUGUGCAUAACUAUACUUGUUUAGGGAAUGUGCAUCCUGCUUUUAAACUUAAACCUUAUAAAAGCAAUUACACAAGCAAAAUAAAAAUAAAAUGCAACAAUAAAAUAAAUCUAGAACUACAGAAGCAGGUUGUUAAAAACAACAGAAAAUGCUAAAACAAAAAUGUGAGCAGCCAUAAAUUUCAAAUAAAUACACCUCUUAAAUAAUAUAUAAAGCAACAACAAGCAAAACUGCAUAUAACUAAUGAUUAAACAACAUGUUUCAGAGUCCAAUACUUCAACAAAUUAUUCAUGAAAAUGCCUUGAAAAAUAAAAAAAAACAGCCUUAAUCCUAGUGCCCAAAACUCAGCAAUGAAAGUGCCUGGUGACCUUCUCUUGGGUGUGCUUUCCAUAAAUGAGGAUGUGGGACUAUUCAGAGAAUGAGCUCUGAUGCCGGAUCCAGUUCAUUCAUACAAGAAGUGAGCCACGUGACUUCGAUUACACAUGAACAAAGGAUAAAUUGGAGGAGUUGCCUUUCAGAAAUUGCCAGUGGGUCCAGGUGAAGGUUUUGGCUAUGAACACUAGGAAACAGCUUCACUGAGGGCUCUCUGUGCCGGCUGUCUCUUGCCACCCCUUAGCUCCCCAGAACACCAGCUUACAAUGUGCCAGGUCAGAGGGAUAGGCACCCAUUUAGUACUUUGAGGCCUGACUGAUCUUCCUGGCAAAUCAUAGAGCAUGGGUAGGCAAACUAAGGCCUGGGGGCCAGAUCUGGCACAACUGCCUUCUAAAUCCGGCCCGCAGACGGUCCAGGAAUCAGUGUGUUUUUACAUGAGUAGAAUGUGUCCUUUUAUUUAAAAUGCAUCUCAGGGUUAUUUGUGGGGCAUAGGAAUUUGUUCAUUUUUUCCCUUUCCAAAAUAUAGUCCGCCUCCUCCCCACAAGGUCUGAGGGAUAGUGGACCAGCCCCCUGCUGGGGGAAAAAUUGCUGACCCCUGUCAUAGAGCUUUGACAAAAAUCAAGAUCUCUUUGAGCACCAUCAGGCCAAACUUGGAGAAGAUGAACCAGAACUGUUCAAAUCCAACUGUUCCACUUGGAAAUUGGAAGUUGCUGGUUUGGCAAAGAUCCAGUGCCCUAGCCAUUUAUCAGGACAGCCUACAAUCAUAUCCAAAGUCCAUUUCAGGGGUCUAAUCCAGUCCACCGGUCAGUUUAAUCCGGCCCCUGUGGCAGUUCAUUUCCGGGGGUAAAAUCCUUUAAAAAAACCCUCAACAACUUCAACCCUAAAAAACCUGAAAAACUUCAACCCUAAAAAAAGCUCUUUGGUGGGCCCUCACGGCCCUUCACUUCAUCAAAUCUGGCCCUCUUUGAAAAAAGUUUGGACACCACUGCUGUAGAGUGUGCCUCUGCAUUCAGCACUUGAUGGCUGCCCAGAUUUGAGCAAUAUAGUCAUAUCAUCUCUAAGACCAAAUAAUAUAACUGAUGUUGCAGUAUUUCUGUGUCUCAACGUAAGAUGUUGUAGACUCUGAGCCAGGAAACCUCAGGUUUGGGUACAACUGUCACCUGAUGGAUCUCCCAGUUCAUUAAUGUAAAGCAGUGAACAGGAUAUGACCCCACUUUGCACAGCUCCUAUGGCCCAAACUGUAUACGUCCACAAAAAUUAAGGUGAUAUUUAUCCAUAAUAAAUACAAAAUAGGAAGUACAAAGCACAAGGGGGCUCUUCAGUAGUUACGGUACUUCUAAAAAUAGAUGGUCUCUAUGGCAAUAUUCCACUAUGCCCUUGAAGGUGAAAGCAGUUUUGCUUAGCAGAAGCAUUUCAACACAAAUGAUGGCUCUUUACUAGCUUGAUACAAUUGCCAUUGUCAAAGCUGUAUGCUCUUAAGCACACAGACUAGACAAAUGGUCUUUAACACAACAACAACAACUUGCAGUAGACCGUUUAAAAUGCAUUUAAUGUAUUCAUUACAUUAAUGGUAGCAUGUUUUCAGCCCAUGUAUUAAGCUAGGUUUUGCUGGAGAGUUAAGUCACAACUAACUGAUUUGCAAUUUCAAGAAUGUUCUGCUAUGAAAAGUGGUUUAGCUUUAAAAAAAAGCAAAUGUGGACGGACAGACAAAAUGGAGAGGCUGCAAACAAGUGCUGCAAAGUUCUUUCUAAACCUAAAGCACUGCUGUCCUCAUAGCAAUGGAUUCUGCUCCAUUUUCUGACUCAAACAAUUCUUGAAAAGGUACAAUAAUAGGACCUAAAAUGUGUCUCUAUGCACACCAUGGCCUCCAAUAUAUGUUUCAAAGAGCUGGCAAACUCUGUCACAAACCCCUGGAGAUGCCACUCAUUAGGGCUCCGCAUCCGACAUUUGUUGCUGAGAAGUACAUCAUUAAACCAGAAUUCACUUCUUCCACAAUGUUGCUUCCAGUGUUCUGGUAAACAUCAUAUGGAACACCUCCCAUGCUAUAUCACAGAGAGAGGGAAUCUGUAGCCUUCCAGCUGUAAUUGGAUUCCAUCAUCAUAGCUGAUGGUCAGAAAUGAAGGGAGCUAUAGCCCAACAACAUUUGGAGGACCACAGGUUCCCCAUCCCUGCUAUAACACUUACUGAAGAAGGAGGUAAGAGUUUCUGCCUGCAUCUCCUUUUCACUUCCCCUUGUUGCUUAAGGUAAAGGGACCCCUGACCAUUAGGUCCAGUCGCGGACAACUCUAGGGUUGCGGCGCGCAUCUCGCUUUAUUGGCCGAGGGAGCCGGCGUACAGCUUCCGGGUCAUGUGGCCAGCAUGACUAAGCUGCUUCUGGCGAACCAGAGCAGCGCACGGAAAUGCCGUUUACCUUCCCGCUGGAGCAGUACCUAUUUAUCUACUUGCACUUUGACAGGCUUUCAAACUGCUAGGUUGGCAGGAGCAGGGACUGAGCAAUGGGAGCUCACCCCGUCACGGGGAUUCGAACCACCGACCUUCUGAUCAGCAAGUCCUAGGCUCUGUGGUUUAACCCACAGUGCCACCCGCGUCCCUUGUUGCUUAGCAGAUGUUUAUUUAGAGUUGCAAACCCAGAUUAAACUUUGUGUGACUAGCACCUAUGUUUGACAGCCCUGGAACCAUCCAAGUGGACUGGGGAAAUCCUGGGCUGCAUUGAACCAUACACAGCAACCCCUGGAUUGACCCAAAUCAGCCCUAUUCAGUUUGUGAUCUGGGAUUUGAUCAGAACUGGUGCGCAGCUCUACUGUUAAUUCCCCUGAGUGAACACUUUAUGACUGAAGAAUCAACUUCCAGAAAUUAGAAUGUUUAUGAAUGUUCCAGGACAUCACAGUAGAUUAGUCAAUGGCUUCUGCAGGGCUGCAAAGCAGUUAGGCAGGUAGGCAACAUGUGAGAGUUCCCUAUAAACAUGGAAGAUUUUAUGUACAUGCAGUACACUAAAUUGUAAUGAAUAUAAAUACAGGAAAUUGUUGUAGUUGUAAUAUCUUUCCCAAACCCUUUGGCUCUAAGCAUCAAAGUUUCAGUGUUAACAGUACAUUAAAGGCUGACUUUGCUAUUGUAGGAAACACCAUACAGCAUCAACCAAAGCUCAAAAUGACAUUAAAGUGCAAGCUUUGACACUUGGGUGUAUGCUACAAAUGGACCAGAUCAAUUUGCUUAAUAUAUUUAGCCCUACUAAAAAUAUACUAAUAACCGUGUAUGAGGGCCACAAAAUGAGUCAUGAAAAGCAAAUGGAAACUUGCUUAAGAACUCUAUCCACAGUGCAUAUUGUUCCCAAGGUGCCUUUUUGGAGUUGCUUGCCAGCUAAAAAUAUGUAUUUGCUGCAUUAGGGAUGUUUGAAGAAGUCAGUCUUUGAAAUGCCAAUGCAAAUGGACCUGAUCUGCACCUCUUGGACUAAUGUGUGGACCAGAACUUAAUUAUCCACCAACUUUUGCACUUCACAAAUAUCCCAGCGCAGUUCUCAACUAAAAACAAUAAUAAUCAAAAUACCUUUAAUACUCUUUGAAUUCCACUUUGGUGGAAACAUGGGAUCAAAUUAGGUGUGUGCAACAGAACUGCCCAGAGAAAUUUUUACUGGCCUUAUUCAAAUUCUUUAGGCUUCCCACAAAAUUCCCCAAGUGAUUCACCUGAUGGAGAACUCCUAAAUUAAGGUUACCAGAUUUUUUUCAAUGAAUCCGGGGACACUUUAAAUACAUACAUACAUACAUACUUACAACACGUUCGAGAUGUUGAUGGUGGUGGCAGAGGGGCGGCCGCUGCCUUGACCUCAACUGCCACGUUUCCCCUUCCUCCGAUGCUUCUAUCUCCUUUCUCCAUGAGCCUGGGCAGCCCCUGAGUUGUUGGUUCUUCAGUGGUGGUGGUGAGGAAGUGGUGUGCGGUGGGUCAGGCAUGGUGUGAUGCCUCCCUUCCCACCGAAACAGCCCCAAUCCCACUCCUACUUGCAUGCAAGCAGGAGGGGGCAGGGAUCCCUCAGCAGGGAAGGGAGGCUUCCAGUUGCCUAACUGAGAGAUCCCUGCCCCCUCCUGCUUGCACGCAAGCUCUGAUAGGCAGCGUGAAGCCUCCCUUCACAGCUGAGGGAUCACUGCCCUGCUCCUGCUUGCAUGCAAGUAGGAGUUGGGAGGCUGCUCCGAUAGGCAGCAUGAAGCCUCCCUUCACAGCUUAGUUGCUGGGGUCAGGGAAGGUGGAGGCAGCCUCUGGAAGCUGCAUCUUAGAGCCCCUGCACCACCAUCAUAUGGGGACUUCUGAGCAGCUCCUGAAGCCAGCCAGAGCCAACUGCUCUGGGCUGCUGAGACUGCCACUGCUGCGUUUCCUGGGGACAUUAGAUGAAAUCCAGGGACAUUCUGGGGAUGGAAUUUGUCCGGGGACUUAUUCACAUAUCCGGGGACUGCCCCCGGGAAACGAGGAUGUCUGGUAACCCUACCCUAAAUUCACAUCACAUUUCAAUUUUGGCAAAAUGUCAGUGUCAAGCACCUUUUAUAAAGACUGAAAAAGGAACAAGAGCCAGACAUUCAAGAGGUGUAGGAAGACUAGACAGGUUUUAUAUGGAAAAUUGAGAGAUUGAAGAAGGCCACUCCACCCCCUACAGUCACUCUCAUUGUCUAGGAAAUACAUUCCAUCAUUAAAGUGACGAAUACCCCAUCUGCACUAUGCAUUUUAAGCAGUAUCAUACCUGGGAAUUGUAGUUUGUUAAGGGUGUGGAGAAUUGUUAAGAGAUCACCAUUCGCCUUACAGAUCUUUAGUUUCCAGAGUGGUUUAACAGUCAAUGUCUCUUCCCAGGGAACUGUAGGAACUGUAGUUUUGUAAGGGGGAUAGGGGUCUCCUAAGAACUCUCAGCACCCUUAACAAGCUGUCUUUGGGGGAAGCCGUGACUGUUUACAGUGGUAUGAUAUUGCUUUAACUGUAUGGUGCAGAUAGUAUCUUAAGGCUUAGAGAUCAAGGGCACUGAAUGUCUAUCAUCAGAACAUCAUCAUGAGUGUGGGAAAACUUUGUUAUUGCUUCAGAAAGAAAACUGAUCCAUUUUCCGAAGUGAGGGAUAGCUUAGAUUGCUGUGCCCAAGUACACAUCAAAUCAGCUAUUUUGUUCAUUAGAAUAGUUUCCUCCCUGCAUAAUCUCCCUGCAAUAUGGAACAAGUUCAACCUUGUCCCCUUGCCCUUUCAAUAUAUAUUCUCAAUAUGUAUUGCCAGUUACAUCACAUCUUUUGAUAAAUGUUCUGAACAUUGGUAUUGACAGAGCAGGUUGUAGAUAUUUACUAGAACUCACGAUGGGGAGAGAGGGGGAAUUUAUUUACCUUCUGCAUUUCUGUGACAUCUCUUCCCUGCAGCACUUUGAUAUCCCAAGAGCUCUUCCUCUCCAUUAUGAGACAUUUUCAUAUCGGCUGAACACUGCAAGUCUUUGACAGAUUAGCAAAGGCAAAACAAAGUCUCUGAAGUAUGUUAUGUUUAGAAGGCGACGAACCUGCAGAACAAAGAGUGGCAUCCACUGCCAACCCCGGCUGAAUCAUUACAUGCCUCAGCCUUCGGUCCUCCUGAAAGUGUAAAAAGCAAUGACUAGACUUUAUUAUGCAAAAUGCAUGCUACACCACUAUUCACUCUGAGAAUAGAAAUGCAGGUUUCCUGUUCUUUGUUAUGUUAGCUGACAAAACUGUUAGUAUUUCUCCACUUCUCUUUUGCCAAUCCCUUCAGUGCUGGGAAAGUUGUACUCCUAAUUGUGAGUGUAGUUGAGGUGCUUCACAAAGUCCAGAGACUUGCAAAGAUAAGCCUGUAUGCCUGCAGGUGUACUUGUGAGUGCAUGUGGCAGGGGAGGAGGAAUUGGGACUGUGCUUACUGAUCUACAUACACUAUCACUACACCGCAGCCUCCCCCAACGUGCUGCUCAUUAUAUUACUUGGACUACAAUUCCCAUAAUCCAUGACCAUGUUUUUGACUAUAAUUCCCAUCAUCCAUUCCCAUUGCCCAUACUGGAAUGGAUCUAAUGGGAGCUCUAGUCAGUCCAUAAUAUCUGAAGGACACCAGAUUGUUUAUGGCUCCUGUACCCUCUAACUGUUACUCAAAAUGUCUUAUUAGCUUUUGGUCCAUUAUCACCUACUUGGUGCCAUGACUGAGAUGUAAUAUUUAACACUGUCAUCACCAGUCAUAUUCUGAUUUUAUAACUAUUGAAGGGCUGAUAUUUUAAUGUUGCUGUGCCUACACUUCAGAGCUCUCUUCCAGUGGCCGUUAGUAAUGCACCUUCACUAUCUUGUUUUAGACACCUGUUUUUAUUUCAGCAAGUCUAUCCUGCAUAUAGUUUAGUUUUUUAAUGUUUUGCUAAUUUUAUCAGUGUUUCGUUGAUAAUUAAAGUACACUUUUUUUACAGUUUGGAAGCUUUUAGCUGCAUUUUACAGAUAAUUUUGCUGCGUCUCAUGAUUAAAUGGCCUAAAAACCUUUCUUAAUAAAUACAAAUAAAAUAAAUUGAUCACAUGGCCAUCCUAAGUGUCCCAGUUCCCGGUAUGAUUCCAUUUACAGUGGUACCUCAGGUUACAGAUGCUUCAGGUUACAGACUCCGCUAACCCAGAAAUAGUACCUCGGGUUAAGAACUUUGCUUCAGGAUGAGAACAGAAAUCGCGCAGCUAAAGUGGUGCUUCAGGUUAAGAACAGUUUCAGGUUAAGAACAAACCUCCGGAACGAAUUAAGUUCUUAACUCAAGGUACCACUGUACAACUGUACAGUUGCCAGCUCUUGAAAUAAAAGCUUCUGACAACUGGGCAGGAAAGGGGCAGAGUCCAGACUAUAUGAACCCAAAGCCUAGCUAUUUUGGUGUGUCCAAGAAUAGCACAAACAUCAUGGUGACACAAACCCUGUCAGUGGCAAGUCAAGCAAACACUUUGCCCCUGGUCACACCUCCAGAAUUACUGAAAUGCCUCCUGACUUCACAACCUGCAAGUUUUGAGGGACAUUUUGAUUCUCAUUUUUAUCGGCAGAAUGCUGCAAAAACCUAGCAAUAAACAAGCAAUAGCAGACUGGUACAGAAAUGGGAUGGGAUUGUCUUAUGACUGGUGUUACAGAAAUGGAUGGGACUAGGUUAUGGACACUGGCUUCAUGAAUGGCUUUAUAGGGGGGAAAGACAGUUGGGUUGGUCUGGUUCCAUUUCAUGUCAACUUUAAACAGACCGAUCCACCCAUCCCUUUUCCCCAUUGGAACUCAUGUCCUGAUGAGCCAGGAGUUGACAAGUCACUUUUAAAUGGGACUUUUAAUGGGAAGGCAGAGCUCUGAAGUUGGACUCUGCCUGCCAAGUCUUGAGAUAGAAUUACUGAAGACAGAGAUUAUCUGAAAACUCGAGAGGUGGUGGGCUUAAUCACCACCAACUUCUAUGGAUUUAAUUCUUUCUGCUGCUUGAAGGGGAAAUGCUUUGUGGUUUCCUGGGAAAGAAGAGGCAUGUAACAGCUCCCUAAGGCACCAUGUUUCCUGGGAGGUGAUUAGGUCAGCAGGCUCUCAGGUCCUCUUGAGGUCAACUUUAAUAUAGAGAGAACGAGUGUAUGAAAAGUGUAAUCGAGAGAGCUUUUCAUCACAGCUUGUAUCAUGGAAAAUUGACCAUUACACCGAAUAAGGCAACAGGGACAUCUCCUUGCUGCAAGCUUUCCUGGAAAAGGUUAUUAGGAAAUAUUGAUUAGAAGUAAUAAUUACAAUAUGUUGGUCAUAAUGGCUUGACUAUAGGGAAAAUAACUAAACAAUUCAUCUUUGGAUUCCCUUUAAAUUAUUGUCCAGAAAACAAUAGGGAAGUUUUUAAUGCUUGAUGCUGUAUUGUUUUUAAUAUUCAGUUGGAAGCCACCCAGAGUGGCUGGGGAAACCCAGCCAGAUGGGCGGGGUAUAAAUAAUAAAUAAUAAAUUAUUAUUAUUAGAGCAAUCUGCUAAAAUGAGAUAUGGAGUAUACAUCUCAUUAUGGUGGAUAUGUGCUUGCUACUAACAGUGCAAACCAAUACUCUACUCAGGAGUAGGCCCCACUGAGUUGAAUGGAACUUACAGGUAGCUGUCUAAGUAACGCCUCUCUCACACACACAAAUCUGCAGGUGUGUGUAAUUCUGUCCUGCUCUCUAAACACAAAAGUGCCAAAUGCCCUUAGUCUGCAAAGUUAGAAUAUAUUUCAGAAAAGAAAAUGCUUCUUUGUAACAAAUUAAUUGAGGUCUUUCAUUAAACAUGAAUACACCUUUUGAAAAAAUAACUGCAUAGGCACUAAUUGCUAAAAUGAAGUGCAUUACAAUGUUGCCUUCCUUGCUUUUUUGAAGUAAAAAAACUCUCUUUUUUCAUUUUUUUGCCAAGGGAUAUGGUGACUGUACUCCCUUUACAAAAAAGUUAAUUAGAAUUAAUUCAGAAUCUGAUUGAAAUUAUACCGAGGCAUUUGUAAUUCUUUCAGAAUUUUUCGUAAAGGUUGGCCCUGAACAUUAAAACCACACUUUUCUUAAUGCACAAACUAAACCUUUCCAGUAAGAAUAAUUGUUUUACAUAAUCAUUUUAUAUAAUAAUGUCAGUGGGAAUCUCUCCUGCUGUCCUGCUUCAUGAAAUUGAUAAAUUCAACUAGUAAAAAAUCAAAAGACUUGGCUGUGAAUUUUCAGAAGAGCUAAGGUGGGAACUUUGUUGUGAAAGGAGGUUCACAGCUUUUCUCAUAUAGUGCUUUUUCUUUCUUUUCUUUUUCGCAGUGCAAUGGUUCUAAUCAGCCAUGAAGCUCUGUACAUGCAGGGGCUCCCUAGUGCUCUUCAACGUCAGAGGAUGCUUUAGGUGUCAAAAAAAAGGAUGGGGGGAUAUUACAUGUGGCAAUCCAGGCUUCAUUUAACAUAUAUUCCACAGAUCUUAAUACUCAGCAGUAUAAAUACCUAAAAUGUCAUUUACCUCAAGUAAAUAUUGCAGAGCAGAGGUUCCCAAACUUUGGUCUGUGGGCCACCAGUGGUCUGCGAACUUCAUUUAGGUGUCCCAUGUCAUAUUUGUGAGUGUUUUUUGUCUGAAUAGGGGAGAUUGCACACCCAUGACAUUGGAUACAGUAUUCAUAGUGAUUUUCAGUUGUAUUUCUGUUGCUUCUUUUAUUUCUUAUAUUGCAUUAUUAUUUGAAUUCCAGCCGCACCUAGACUGCUGGCAUCAUCAUCUACAUUGUGUGGCAUUAGUGUACGUAGGUGGUUGUGUGCCUUAUUUUACAAAGUAUUGGGAUGUCUGUAUGAACAACUGCAAGAGGAAACUCCUCUAAUUCAGAGAAGAUGGCCAUGGGGCCCUGCAGAUGUGGUUUAACAGCCUCAGCCAGUGAGGCCAACAGUCAGAGAUGAUGGAAGUUAUAGUCCAACAACAUCCGGAAGGCCUCAGGCUUCCCACCCUGAUCUGAUUAAAGUAGUCCUUUUUUUGUUACUUGGGUCAAGCUUGGUUUAAAGAAGAACCAUCUCAAUUGAGAGUAGAGUCCUUUGAAGCAGUUAGUACCUGUCUAGCAGAAUGAUAAAGACAGUCUUUCCUAUUUUGCGGAGAUGUAGUUAUAUUCCAAUUUUAGUGAUUAUUUCUAAAUUUGCAUCUAUACAUAUAAAGUAGCACAUACAAAUGUUACCCAGAUCUCUGUCCUCUUUUUUUGGUGAAGUAUUUCCUCUUUUUUUUUUUUUUUUUGGCAAUAUGUAGGCCAACGUGCACAUGGAGUCAGCAUGGGGCCUUCUGGGUAUUUGUAGACUCCAACUCCCAGCAGGCCUAGCCAGUGUGGCCAAUGAUUAGGGAUGAUGGGAAUUGCAGUCUGACUAUAUUUGGAGGGUACCACACUGGUCCAUAUUGGUCCAUUCCAACACAGGGUUCUUUAGCAGAUUCCACCAAGACCUCCUGACACUCGCCUGUGAGGUUAUGCAAUUUCCCCUCUCUCAGUGUUGUCUUAUAUCCUAGUAGCCAAUUCAUUGGCUGCUACCGAUGAAUGCCUGCCUGCUUCAUUUAGAUAUUGUGAAGGUAUUGACGGUUGUUGGUCAUUUGAUUACCGAGAGAAAAGGAGCUGGUAGAGAGGAAGAAAUAUUAAGCCAAUUUCAAAUAAAAGGCAUUGGUGGGGGGGAGGACAAAAAAGAGAAAAGUCUCGGUGCUGAUUGAGCUACUGUGCUGCAUGUAUAUUAAUGACAUUAUCCUUGCACAGUGACACAUCCCAUAGUACAAGAAGCAUUUUGCAUCAAUCGUUGUCAGCCAGGUUUUCAUUACAGUAUUUACGAAAGCACUGCGUAUCUUGAGCUGAAUACAAUUCAUAUUUUAUGUAUUCCUUUUUUAUGAUCGUAGGCACUGGCAAUUAUUAACAUGCAGUGUCUCAGCACAGGAAAUAGAAGAGCUCAAUGUUGAUUUAAAAGAAAGGGCUACUGUGCCAUGUUCUCUUAUCUGCUUCCGAGCAGAUAGAAGGAGCCCAAGCAGUUUAAUCUCAGAGCAAAACCAAUCCUAGUUUUCCCCUCAGGUGCUGCAUGCACAAAAAGGCAAUAAAACAGAAUAAAAUGCUCCCACCCACCGAAACACCCAUCCAGAUAAAUUGAUGUCAGUAUGAAAUGUUCAUUACUAAUGUGAUGCUAAAUGAACAGAUUAUUUCUUUUUACCAGACAGGUGAGGAUACACCAUGGAAAUAAGAGCAAUGCAAACAAAAAUAUGAGGAAAUUAUUAUGAACUCCUUUACCAGUCUUCCCACUCAAUGAAGGAAGUCAGGUGUGGAACCAAUAGGGGUUGCGGUUGGGGAAGAGGCUGGCACAUGCUGCCCCAUGUUCCCUCCACACUCGCCCACUCCCAUUUCUUAAUGCCUGGACAAAGCCUCUCUCUCUUUCUCAAGAUAAGGAUUUUCUUCACAGGGGAGGUGCAGGGACUGGCAAGUUGGAUGGUGAAAUGGAAGGAAAGAUGUAGGAGAUAAGAGAGGCUGUUGACUCACCUGGGAGAGGCUAAUCCUGGUGAGUCUAGCAUGAUGAAGGGUUGGCUGGUUUUGCGUGUUCAGACCCAGAGACCUCCCCCCUAAAUAAAGACACACUUGAUUCAAAUUUUAGUUUUGGUUUUUGGCAGAAUUUAGGCCACAACUUUAUUGAUUACAGAAGGUGAGUCGUUGUAUAGGCUCUGGUUCGACUAGCUCCCUUCACCCUUGCAGGCAGCGCUGACCCAGGGCACCAGCGUAGGUCAGCCAAGGGUGAACACCUGGGUAGACGAAAAGCCGGGACGGGAACAGACUAUGUUCACCACCCAGAUGCCCCCCGGGACUCAGGCAUGGGCACAACCCCCCCUCAGGGGUUGACCAAACCAUUUGAGUCCCUGGAUUCCUUACCCUUCACAUAGGGAUGGCGAGAGCGUUCUCCCAUCCCUAUCACCUGAACCAGUGCCUAUCCGCAACCUUACAAGUUGUGACGAUUUGCUACGCAGCAGGCGAAACCCAAAUGGCAACAGCCAAUCAGCCAAGUGGGGGAAAUCCCUGCCGUGCCCCUGUCCCAAUGACAGAACACACACCACGGCAUAGCAAGGUCAAUCACAAAAUGCCCUAUAAGUAGGGAGAGGUGGGCGGGUGUUCCGAAUGCACGAGCCGAAAGAGGAAGCUCUGGGUCACGUGCAUGGGUAUAUAUAGGUCCCUCGAUCUGUUUGGACUGCGCCCCAUUGGCCAGAUUGAACCCAACAUCGAGGGACCUACCAAUCGGGUGUUGUGGCUGUCGAAUCUUACCCACCCACAACACAGGAGGUUGGUCUCCAGGUCUCACGGCAACAUGUGCCCUCUUUAAGGGAAGACACGAUUUAGCAUGUCAGUGGCUGGGGCCUAGUGAGCAGCAUGUGGAGCCAACUGAAGUAAAAUCCUAACUGUCUGCUGUAUAACUUCCUCUUCCCUGAUAUCUCAUUAUAAUGUCUGGCAGAAUGUGACUGACCUUUAACAAUAGGGCCAUGACUGUGACCUCAUAAUGUAGGUGUCUGUCAAAUAUAAUUUCAGGAUUUGUUAUUUUUUCAUCAGGUACAUUCUACUCUCAGUGCGCCCCCUCUUGCUUUCUGGUGAAAAUAUAUCCAGAGAUUUAAAAGCAGUUAGGUUUAAAGCUUAAUGGAUAUUAUAAGGUAAAUUGAAAAGAAUAUUCUAUCCAAGAUUUGAGGACAUUGACUUAUUAAUAAGACUUUGUAAUGAGACAGCUUUGCACUACUUUCUGAUUCUACCGGCUGUCUGACUUGGGCGCCUGACAUACAUUUUGCUAAAUCCAGUAUUAAAGCUUCAAAACUGUGUUCUUCCAUUUCCAAAUGAAAGGUGUUAAAUGGAGGUUAUUUUUCAAUUAAGCCAUUUCUCUUUCAGAGAAAUGUAUGACUGGGAGACAGACCAGUAAAAUCUCUCUCUCUUUCUCUCUUUUUAAGGGACAUCCUUACAAUGGCCAGAGCCUGUAGAAAGCAGAAUCGAACUCCCUUCUUGUCAGCUGAUGAGCAAUCUAAAUUCAGUCUUGAUUUUUGCAGAGAUUGGCUGCACCAGUGAUCUCCCCAAGGGAAACUCACUUGUGUAGCUGAACCAACCAUGACUGAACUCCCCACCCAUCAGUUGAUAUAUGGGGAGUUCAAACCUGCUUUCUCUGGGGAUUGGCUGUAUAAGCAGCCACCCACCUUCAUCUCUGCUUACCCACAGACACCUAAUGAUGUCAGGUGUGCAGCAGAUGGGCAUUAUCUGGGCAAAGGCAGAUUUGGGGCAGCAUGUCUGGUUCUACCACACUGGGUGCUGCUGCAGGGAACUGCAACUAUAACAAUAGUGAAUUGAGCGGAACAGAAGGCAAGAGGUGGGGAUUUUCGCCUCACACAGUGCACUGCUGAAAUUUGAAAAACCAAAGUCUGUGUCUAAUUUGGGGGAAAUGGCCUUGUAGGCAAAAUGGAGAGGCAGAACAGGUUAAAUGUGCCCCACAGGCAGAGGCUCCCCACCCCUAUCCUACGAGGUGGUGUCAACUGAGAUUAUAAUCUUUUGUAUUGCUAGUGAAUGGCCAGCUGGCAUUUCCACAAAUCACUGAAGAUGCAUGUCCAAUGGAUUUUGAUGACUAGAAGUAGUAAUGGGGUUGAUUUUUGAAUGGGGGGGGGGGAAGGGUGUGGAAAUGAAUGUUUCUGAUUUGGAAUCCUCAAACCCUUGGCCUUAGUUUUCACCUCUUCCCUUGCCACUCAGAUAUACUCGGCACCAGCAGUGAUGGGACAGUUGGAAAGGGCCUUCCAUUGUGCUAAAUGCUACUGCAGAAGCAUCUUAGGGACCAUGACCCCUGGGAAUAUUUGAUGUUAGUCAUACUCAGGAAAGACCCACUGAAAGUAAUUUACAUGACUAACUUUGGUCCAUUCAUGUCAGUUGGUCUAUUCCGAGUACAACCUUGUCAAGUACAACCAAUUGUUUGUUUGUUUUGAUAGGUGGUAUUUGGUGUCUGUCUGUGUGUGUGUGUGUAUGUGUGUUGGCUGCUGAUUAAUCAUUGAUAUCUGAAAUAAGGCAAGUCAUAAUGCCAGUAUUAUUAUUUUGACAUUAGAUGAGUGUACAUAUUUUAUUCCAAUAUGCAGGAGGGAUGUCUAUGCCUUAUACCAGUUCAGACCGCUGGCCUUUCUGUCUCAGCAUUCUCCACACUGACUUGGCAGUGGCUUUCCAGAGUUUCCAGAUAGGAGCUUUUUCCAGCCCUACAUGGGGAUUGACAACUGUGCUUCCUUAAGAACCUUUCCCCAACAGAUGCCAAAAAAUCUAAAGUACUUGCAUGCUAAAAUAAGUUUUCACAUUCAACAUGUAAAUCUGAUUUUUUAAAAAUAAAAUAAAAUAUUGUGUCCAAAAUUUCGGUUGUGAAUUGGGAAAUUUCAGUAAAUUUAAAAUAUUUUGAAUAUUUCUUCCAGUUCUGGUUUCAUUUGUGUCUAAAUAGCCUAACUCUGUUAGGCUCAUUGUAAGUCAUUGUGAGAUAGCUUUAGUCCAGUAAUAGGAAUUCUGAAACCUGAAGCCUUGCUUUAGCUUGGGAAAUUCAUGUUACUUGGUUAAACUUUGCUCAUAAAGCAUUUGCCGGAGGAUGAUUAAAUGGCCAGAUUGUUUUCAUUCUUUCUUCAGGGAUGUCUUGCUCUCAGUCAUUUUGUCAUAAAAAUUAAGAGCCAAAUCAAUUAAAAGAUAAUUAGGGGGUGUUAUUUUCCCCUUUCUUGUCAUAAGCACACAACUUGCCCUUUUUGUAGGUCUUCUGAUUUUACGGUUGUGGAAUUGAACAUUUGAGCUGAGGGAUAGUUCCACUCAUUAACAUGACAGCUAAUGAACAGGUCUUUGCCAGCGUAUUCCUUUAUCUGGAUCCCAACAGUUGUUCUCUGUCUGGGAUGAGAAGCAUGAACAUCAACAGUCCAUCAAACCAUGUUUAGAAGGGUGAAGGGGGAGAAGGAUGUUUUAUUUAAAAACACACACACACAAAACACUAUACUAUGCAGGGGUGAGUAUUUCGAGCAAAUCUGUUUCUUCUAAACCCCCCCUCCCUUUUACAAUAAUCGGUAGCUUUCUUUCCAAAGGUCAUUCUUUGAACUGUUACUAGGAAUUUGAUUUUGGGGAUACAGUCCUUGAAAGUAGGUUAUUAAUAUAUGAAUAAGUGCAUUUGGUUAUUAUCAUUUUUCUUGAAGUGCUUUUAGAUUAUAAUGGCAAAAACAAAGGGCAUGAUCCACCUUAUUUUUAGGUCAUUAUUGAUCUUGUUAAUCUCACAUAAAGGAGACUUACAACUGCUUUAACUUUGGGUGGGUUACACUCAUACCCAUAGAUAUGGGGCUGAGUCAAUUGUUUAAGACCACCUACAAAUGUCCAGCUGAUAUGUUUAAAUCCAGAGUGUAGCUCUUAAUGCGGUUUGGUUAGGAGAGAAUAUCUGAAGAUGCCGUCUACUAAGUCAGAAUAUUUGCACAUGUCCUUUGGAUGUUUGUGCAUGUACAAGCAUUUGUUCAUAUAGCCUCUGACUCACCAAGGUCUCGGACAAAAUGUCUUUCCCAGGUAGUUGUGGUCUACUAUCUGUUGAUACCAGGGACAUGCCCAGGGACUUUCUGCAUACAGAAGCACUCACCCUCCUGCUUAAAUGUGAUGCAAUGCAAGGAGGUCAAAUUGAUAAACAGGGCAUUAGAGUUUGUGUCAGUGAUGAUGAUAUCAAUGAGUUACGUUGCGCUAUUUUUGAGAAAAGUGGCAGAUGUGUGCAUCACUCUCACAACAUUCUGAUCAUGCCUCUGACUGCUGGUGGAUUUUGUAAAAAAUAUUAUUAUUGCUUCUCUUGCUUGCCUUUUAAAUCCUAGUGCAAGACAUAAAAAUAUUCUAAUCUUUCUUUGAAUGCUGGGAUCCGACAGAGUUUGGGGAUUUGCAGUGUGACGAGUUAUGAGAAAGUUAAUUUGAAAUGUGAUGACAAAUAGCAGCAAUAACAUCCCACAAAAUUUCCCCAUUUGCUUCAAACGGUGAAAAUAGUUGGAAAGAUCUCCAGGUGCCUCGAAGAAGUCAACGUAUAUUAGUGAAAAUACAAAUAGCAGUGCAUUUUUAAGAGGAAAUAUAUUAGAGCUUUCAGCGUUAAUCCUUUAAAGUCCUUGUUGUUUCUCUUGGUAUUUGUUAGAGUAGAAGCAGGGGACCUUUGAACCGGUUGCAUGAGACCUGCUUAUCUAGGAGAGGUUCCUGUGCACCUGGGGCCAUGUUUAGUUGACCAGACUAUGAUGGGCAGUGAUUGAGACCCAUAUUACCAGCUCCUACUGGUACGGAUGAAUUUUCUGCGUGGUUGCUUGGACAAAACUGACUCCAUGGCUCCAUGUGCCAAAAUACCUAUACUUGCAUAUAGUGAGCAAAAAAAUGCAUAUAUCUGUGAGAUUUUCAUAUACAAAUGCAUUAUGUAAGGCAGAAUCACUUAGGGUGCAAGUAGAUAAAUAGGUACCGCUUUAUAGCGGGAAGGAAAACGGUGUUUCCGUGUGCUGCGCUGGUGCUGGCUCGCCAGAGCAGCUUCGUCACGCUGGCCACGUGACCCAGAAGUGUCUCCGGACAGCGCUGGCCCCCGGCCUCUUAAGUGAGAUGGGCGCACAACCCUAGAGUCGGACACGACUGGCCCGUACGGGCAGGGGUACCUUUACCUUUAAGGCAGAAUCGCAUUCAGAGCUGUGUUCUGUAUUAGAUUUCAAGCCAACUCGAAAGGCAUGGGAACUACCAUAGAGUAAGUAACUCAUCUGUGUUCUAACCUACUAGUCUGCAAUUCUAGUGGGUCAUAGCUUGAUCCAAGGUGGGUUGCUGCAGAAGCACUACCACCAUGCAAAUAUACAAUAAAAGAUUAAGAAAUGGCUCUCCCAAUGUCUUAAGUGGGUCCUGGGGCUGAAAUACUAUUCCUGUAACCCACUUUGUGCCUGGUAAGUUUUGUUAGGUUGUGAAUCUGCCACCUCCUGGCACACUUCCAGUGCUUCACCAUAUGUGAUUUUGAUGUACUACAUUUUUUUUACCAAGCAUGGAGGGUAUUGAUGGAAGGCAGUGUUAGCUGAUCAAUAGGAGCAGAAUUCAGGUGGUUGUAAAAAAAAUGCAGUGACGGUAUAGGUGCAUCCUAAAAUCAAUAAAGAAGAGUGGUUCUUCAUAAACUAAAAUGAAGAACCAUUACCCACUCCAGCUAAAUCACAUUCUGUGUUGGAUCGUUCGCAGCACUGGGAGCUGGUGAGCAUAAAACCAAGAUGGUGCAGAAAUCAAGCAGUUGACAUAGUAAGAGAUGGAAUAUAGACCAAGGAGCAGAUUUUACUGAUUGGUAAAUUAGAACAGCAGUUACAUAAACUGCCAGGGCCACAAAAGCUGCUUGAAAUCAUAUAAGUAUGGGAAAGUGUUGAAUGGUUUCAGUUUUGUCUCCCUUCUUGGAAACAUGUUAGAUACUUUGCUUUCCUAAGUGGCAUGCUGUUCUGGCGAUUUUUCAGAUUCAAGAAGUAAGUCAAAAUGCGUGAACUUGGAAAGGUAUGAUUGAAUGUACUUUGGUGAUUCUUUGGGGGAACCUUAUGAGGGUCACAUGUCAGUGGUUGGCAGAGUUAGAGGCAGCAAUGGGUGACACACUAAAUGUUUUACCUUUGUAUAGUAGACUAGUUUCUACAGACUCUCUCUAUCCCCCAACCAGACAAGCAAGAGGCAUUAUCAGAGCGCUAGGCUACAUUCCAGUCAGGCAAAAGCACUCAGGGUGAGAGGCAGGGCCAGUGGUGUGUGUGUUUCCCCUGGGAGAGUAGAGGGAGAACUCCAUGGUCCAGACAGACUGACCUGGAAGACUUUGUCCCCUGUGCUGAGGUUUCCCCAGUCCUGUUCUGCAUAUUAAGCAUUAGGCUUAAUGUCUUAAGGAAGAAAAGGAGAUAGCAGUAAAAGGAAAAUCACAAUAACCCUUUAAAAAUGUAGAGUUCUCAACAUCAUUUUAGGCAUGAUUUUAGUUUCUCACAGGAUAAGAUCCAGAGUCCCCAGGAGUGGAACUCUGAUCAUGGGCUACUCCUGCUUGAAAGAAGCCAUUUGUGCUGGUUCUUCUUCCUGCCUGCAGACCCCCCCCCCCAAAGUUGCUCCAUAGGCUUAAGACUUAUGUUGGAGGUGGUAUGGGAGGCUGCAGGGAGAACUCUCAGGACUUCCUCCAGCAGUAUUGCUUUUCAGCCUUUUGGCUAAGAUGAAGUGUAGGACUUUCUCCAGCAGAAGCUUCUGCUGGAUCUCAGUUCCUUCUGCACAUGAAAACAGCCCUUCAUUUUGCAGAAAGAAAACUGUAAAUAACCCAAAACAGUUGAAAGGAGUUCACUUCUGAAGACCACUCUGGGUUGAGGACUGAAAUUGUCUGCUACUCUCCGAAAAUGUUAACAAUAAAAGAUAUACAAUUUUCCUCCACUACACAGUUGUCUUCUGGGUUUUUCCCCUGGAUGCUUAUUGCAAAUGUUUGAUCCAUUUUGUUGUCAUCAACAUGUUAUCUCAACCAGCAGGACCUGUCUAUUGCAGUACUUUUCAUUUUCUUUUGAUGUGGUUGUCCCCAUUUGCCUCCUCUUGCACCUUUGCUGAUGCUCAUACAUUUGUGGUAAUGUUUGCAAAAGCAAAAAAGAGGCACUGCAGCUCCCAAGUGGGUCAUCUGCCUAGGAUUCAACUGCCCCCCUGCUGGUCUUCUCAUAGAGCAGGCUUAUUUUACAGUAUGUGUAGAAGAACACUUCUCGGUAUGGGAUAUUUCCACACACCCUUUACACAUAUCUAUCCCACUAGGUUAAUUCCAAUGAAGUGCAGAAUAUGCCAAUUUACAUGGAGAAAAUAUCUGGAGUAGAGAUAUGAUUAGCUAGCAUUUAUCCACAUUCAACAGGCUAGAAGUAGGCCCAUCCAGUUGUCAGGAACAGGUCAGCAAUAAAACACCUGGCAUCAGUGAAGUUAACUCAUUAUUCAAAGAAGUCAAAACAGCUCAGGCCUCGGGAUCACUGUCCAGUAAGUCUUCUCUCAAUGAGGCAGUUGCAAGGAUUGAAGGUCCCUGCCUUCCUACUUCUCUCUAAGACUCCUCCCCCAACAACCUGUGGCUCCUUUUCCUUGUCUCUCUUUGCUCCACCCUUUUCAUUCCUCUUUGUGUUUUGUGAGUCUGGGGGGUGGGUGGGUCUGGGGGGUGGGUGGAAGAGAGACUCCCUGGCUUCUUAAGCAGCCUGCUUCUCCUCUGCCUCUUGGCCUCCCUCUUCUCCAGCCUCUGCUUCUGCCUUGUGAUUCUGGAUUGCUCUCUGCCCCAGCCUUUCCCUACUCACUAAACCCUGUUGCUUCAUUAGCUUCUGUUCCCUCUGACCACUCAUCAUUGUCCCACCACCAAUCUCUUGGCUUCCUUGGGGGUUAUCCAGCUGGUGCCUCCCACUUCUCCCCUACAUCCAGCUAGUUCAUUACACCACUAGACUAAUUGAAACUCUUUUUUCCUUCCCUUGAAAUUGCUCAGCUUUUUCUGACAGUGAGCAUCUUCGAAAUAAGUCUCAAAUUUUUAUGUUAGGCAAAAUAUAGCAAGGCUUGAAAGGGCUGGUUUGGGGAAAGGCUAUUGUUCAGUGGCAGACCACAUGCUUUGCUUCUGGAAGGUCCAAAGUUCAAUCCCUGACAUCUCCAGGUAAGACUGGAGAAAACUCCUGUCUGAAAUCCUGGAGAGCUACUGCCAGUCAUUUUAGACCAACCUUCUCUAGGCCUGUGACCAGCACUUGUUUUGGGCUGCAACUCCUAUCAUCUCCCAUCCAGGGUGGUCAAUUGAUAAUGGGUGUAGUUCAACAUAUCUUUAGGGCACUAAGUUGGGGAAGGGUGUUGUGGUUAAUAUGGAGCUAGAUGGUCCAAUGGCCUGACUUGACAUGAGGAAUAUUUCCUAUGUGCUUGGAUGAACAUUCUUGAUAGUUUUACCAAAUUGCACCAAAAAUGUCUACUGCAGCUCCUUAGAAGUGACUGCUCCACUAAAACAUACCCAGCUCUGCAGUGAGUGUGUGCCCUUCACUUGCCCAGUGCUUCCAAAAUAAAUAGCUGUUAAUAAAAGCUAAGAAACAAUAGAAGUAGAAAACUUACAAAGCAUGCAGCUUUGGGGAACUCUGAACUUCAAGCACCGCAGAUCAAAGGAGCUUUUGUGGCUUCCUUAGAUUUAGUUUCAAGUGGCCGUAUCUGAGUUCUUAAAAGAAGCAGAAAUGAACACGUCAAAAGACAUCCACUGUGCCGGUUUGCACUGAAUCUAGGCUAAUAUUAGUUGGGUUUUUGAAGUAUAUGUAAAUGCCAGAUUGAAGUAGCAAACAAAUUGGGAAAGGAUAGAACAAACGUCUAAUUAUAGUGCCUAAUAACUUAAAGGACAGAGUACAAUGGACUCCUGUUACAGCUAGUUCUCACACAUGAACUGGAGCUUUAAAAUGGUAACGUUACUCUAGCUACUGAAAGGAGACAAACUGAAAUGUGCUAAUUGCGGUGCGAGUUAUGACAUACCUUUUAAAGAACUCCCUUGAAAGUUUGCAUGGUCUGCAUCUGGGGAACGAAGCAUAUUUAGGUUUCUCUCUGUCACUUCUUUUUUCUCUCAGCCUUUCAUGCAUGCAUAGUUUAAGAGAUUAGCAUGAAUAGAUUUUCGAGUUGCGUGUAUGAGAACCUGACAUUGUGCAUUGUGCUGUGUCUUUACAACAGAAGAGAAGCUUUGCUGGUUGAAUUUUACCUUUCAGCAGAUGAGUUUUCUUUCUAAAAGGAAGGUUUUUAAUGUGUCUUCUCUUGGGGGAGAAACAUAAUUGCAGGGGCGGGACGGAGAUUGCAUCCUGGUGCUUCUUUAUAAUUUAAUAUGGGUCAGCUUGUGUGCAAGUGAGGGUUUUCCCUGGAGAACAUGGUUGGUACUCUGAUCUCAGCUUUGGACCUGUUUUAUGUUACAAGGAGGAAGGUGGGCUCCCACUUCGCUGUGGCUCGAUUUUACUCCUGUUCAAGAAUUUAUCAGAGUGAUAAUCAUGCCAUCAUGAGGGUAGGAUGACUGCUGAGAGUACUUUCUCUAAUAAUGUCACUAAUACCUGGGGGAAGAGCAACAUUGGUGUGAGAAGUAGCCUGGCCUACCUAAUUACUUUCCUUAGAAAUUCCAUAUAGGAAGCUGCCUUGCAAGUGAGAUUUUUUUUGUCACUGAGCCUGUAUUAUUUCUGUGACACAAACUUUGGGAAGAGGCAUAGUUCAGUGGAAGAGCAUCUGUUUUGCAUGCAGAAUGUACCAGGUUAAAUCCUCUAGGGAGAACCAGGAGAGCAUCUGUUUGAAAUGUUGCAGUGCCACUGCCAUUCAGUGUAGACAAUGCUGAGCUAGAUGGACCAACAGUCUGAUUCAGCAUAAGGCAGUUUCCUGUGCUCCUAAGACUUACCAAAAGGUCCCCUGGGUCUGAGAGGGAGAUAUUUCACAUGUUACCUGAUCCUGGAGUUAUAGCAUGCUCUCUACCACUGAACUUUCACAGUGACUGCAAAAGUCCUCCAUCCUUUGCUUAGUAUGCCUAAAGAUUUCUGACAGCUUUUGAUAUUUGUCUAAAUCAGCCAUCGGUGAAAAUGCCUAGUCUGUUGCAAAGCUGCAGACAUUACAGGGAACAUUUUGCAUCCUCCAAGCUGCCUUGCUGUUAAUACGUUCUGUUACUAAUAUUUCAUCUCCUCCCUUUUUCUGUUUUCUUUGCCCCAGGCUACAUAUCUAAACAAAAUGGUGAGCCAAACUCUCAACACAAAGGACAGAAAGUCAGCACAUACACCCACCGAGGACCAUUUUAGAUAUUUGCCGGGCAACCAAGUAACCUCCCACGAAAGCAAAAGCUGCCAGCUGUCAAGUGUGUGCCUCAGCAGCCUCCUGAAAGAAAAAGAAAUUGUGGAGGUUCUCAAGCACACAAGAGAGACUUAUGAAGCCCUGACUUCAGAGGUCAGCCAGAACGGCUUAGAAGGAGAAGCGCAAAGUGGCUUGAAGCCGACAGCCAAGGCCGAGAAUCUCCCUGCUUUUCCCGGGGCUCUGAAAGAUCAAUCUCCUGUCCCUCGGCAACAUUCCACUUUCAUAGGGAGGCUGGGACAGCCUCCGAGAGGACCAAUCUCCUUACACAUGUACAGCAGGAAAAACGUUUUUCUUCACCACAACCUUCACACAUCUGAGCUUCAGACUUUGGGCCAGCAAGAUGGGUAAACAGAGUUGGCAAGUAUUUAUUGAAGACAGAGUCCUACAUUUGGCUUAAGGGGCCACGAUGCUAAUUUAAAACUGACUUUUUAAUUUCUCAUCAGCUGCUACC
Podarcis lilfordi (Lilford's wall lizard) is the source of this 38470-nucleotide non-coding RNA. Lineage: Eukaryota; Metazoa; Chordata; Lepidosauria; Squamata; Lacertidae. The record is from the annotation of a GenBank genome assembly.